UUACGGCUCAGUAACACGUGGACAACCUAACCUAUGGAGGGGGAUAACCCCGGGAAACUGGGGAUAAUACCCCAUAGACUAUGGAUGCUGGAAUGCUCUGUAGUUGAAAGGUCCGCCGCCAUAGGAUGGGUCUGCGGCCGAUUAGGUUGUUGUUGGGGUAACGGCCCAACAAGCCUGUAAUCGGUACGGGUUGUGGGAGCAAGAGCCCGGAGAUGGAUUCUGAGACACGAAUCCAGGCCCUACGGGGCGCAGCAGGCGCGAAAACUUUACAAUGCGGGAAACCGUGAUAAGGGAACUCCGAGUGCCCGUAAAAUCGGGCUGUCCAUCUGUUUAAAUAACAGGUGAAGAAAGGGCCGGGCAAGACCGGUGCCAGCCGCCGCGGUAAUACCGGCGGCUCGAGUGGUGGCCACUAUUACUGGGCUUAAAGCGUUCGUAGCUGGUUUGUUAAGUCUCUGGGGAAAUCUGCCGGCUCAACCGGCAGGCGUUCCAGGGAUACUGGCAGACUAGGGACCGGGAGAGGUGAGGGGUACUCCAGGGGUAGGAGUGAAAUCCUGUAAUCCUUGGGGGACCACCUGUGGCGAAGGCGCCUCACCAGAACGGCUCCGACAGUGAGGGACGAAAGCUGGGGGAGCAAACCGGAUUAGAUACCCGGGUAGUCCCAGCCGUAAACGAUGCGCGUUAGGUGUAUCGGUGACCACGAGUCACCGAGGUGCCGAAGAGAAAUCGUG
Molecule: ribosomal RNA, 728 nt
Filed under: uncultured Methanomicrobiaceae archaeon
Lineage: Archaea; Methanobacteriati; Methanobacteriota; Methanomicrobia; Methanomicrobiales; Methanomicrobiaceae
Description: bacterial SSU rRNA
Rfam family: Archaeal small subunit ribosomal RNA
Source: RNAcentral